CGAAGCGGUCCGAGUCGGGCUUGCUGAAGCGGUCGAUGGCCGCCUGUCGCAAGUUUCCACGAACGCGACCGUCUAUCCGCUCGUACAAGUACCUUCUCUGUAUGAGGUAGUCUUCCAAGAUGUCCAAGCAGCGCACCAUUUGGGAGAAAAUGAGCACCUUGUGCCCGCCGGCUUUCAUCUUGGGCAGCAGUUUGUCGAUGAGGACCAGCUUCCCGGCAGACUGCACCAUGGCUUGCAAGUGGAAGUCCAAGGCAGCCGGGCUAUAAACCUCCCUGAAGUCCUCCAGGAUUUUCUCUUCUGCCCCUGAAAAGAACACAAAUAGCAUUAGCUGUAGGGCCCAGAUGAUGUGUAGAACUUCUUUUGUGGGAUUCAGUCUUACCUUUGAUGAGGUAGGGGUGGUUGCAGCACUUCCUCAAUUCCAUCAUAGUGUUCACCAGGUUGGGCAUGUUUGCCUGGCCCGCUCCCUUGGCCAGGAAGGAGAAGUUCUUCUCCAGGAUGGCACGAUAGUACUUCUUUUGAAUGUUGGUGAGCUCCACCUCGAUGAUGGUCUCCUCUUUGGGCGCCAGCUUCUUCUCCACAUCUUCCUUCAAGCGCCGCAGCAUCAUCGGCUUAAGGAUGCCCUGCAGCUUCUGGACCUGUUGACCACCCCCAAAGAAACAUGGCAAUGAUAUAUUUACAGACCAAAUUUGGACAGUAGUCCUGAUUAAACUGUCAACAUUUCACUUUAA
This is a long non-coding RNA of Syngnathus acus (greater pipefish), 728 nucleotides long. RefSeq lists it as uncharacterized. The record is from RefSeq and is a predicted model, not a curated record. Lineage: Eukaryota; Metazoa; Chordata; Actinopteri; Syngnathiformes; Syngnathidae. The transcript is spliced from 2 exons.